Molecule: small RNA, 69 nt
Filed under: Sinorhizobium meliloti 2011
Lineage: Bacteria; Pseudomonadati; Pseudomonadota; Alphaproteobacteria; Hyphomicrobiales; Rhizobiaceae
Description: putative ncRNA
Source: RNAcentral
AACGCGGGCCUUCUGUGCCGCGAAAUAGUCGGCCAGCCUCUCUGAGAGAGGGAGCGGGCAGAUCGGGUC